AGAAAGGAGGAGAGAAACCGAUUAUGUAAGAGCGGCACUGCCGUCAGCCGUCAGCCGCGGAGAGAGGGUCCCCGGGCAGCAGCACCCACUGCCUGCACCAGGGCCACCCUGCCCUGGCCUCGGGCUCCUCAGGGACACGGCUCCAGACAAUGAAUGACUUCAGAACAACCCAUGGCAGCCCCGGCCCAGGAGUGAGUUACAAUGACACCAGCUGGCAGGCUUGGGCCAGAACAAAAGCAGGACCAAGGAAUGAGCAGGCAGUGCGUGUUCACACAUCAGAGAGGCUUCCUGAAGGUGAGGCUGAGUUGGCUGGUGGCACGCCCAGCUCUGAGUUCAGUUCUGACUGAGUCCUGUUCCAUUUGGCCAGGGUACAUGGCCGCAGGUCGAUGGCAUCCGGGGGAACAGGUGGCCGUCCAGUUGUCUUUGAAAGGCUGUUGGUUCCCUCAUUGAAUGUCUCACACCCUUGUCAUAAUCAGCUGACCAUGAAUACACGAAUUUAUUCCUUGAUCUAUAUGUCUGUCCUGACGUCUGCCACAUUGUGUUGAUCUCUGCAGCUUUGUGGGCGGUGUUUGCAGCCGCUGCCGCCGCACCACCAUCGCUGUCCAAUGCCAGCGGCACCUCUAGCUCACGGAGCUCCAGCCGAAGAGGAGGGGUAAGUGAGGAGGUCUCUUUACCGUAUGAAGCAGACAGCCUGCAAAUCCACCUGUGGUUAAAGCACCCAGGAAGCAACUGGCUACAAAAGCCUCUCCCAAUAGUGCGCCCUCUACUGGAGGGGUGAAGAAACCUCAUCGUUACAGGCCAGGUACUGUGGUACUCCGUGAAAUUAGACGUUACCAGAACUUGAGAUUCGCAAACUUCCUUUCCAGCAUCUGGUGCGAGAAAUGGCUCAGGAUUUCAAAACAGAUCUGCGCUUCCAGAGCAGCUAUUGGUACUUUGCAGGAGGCACGGGAGGCCUACUUGGCUGGCCUUUUUGAAGAUACCAGCCUGUGUGCUAGCCAUGCCAAACGUGUAACAAUUAUGCCAAAAGACAUCCAGCUAGCACGCCACAUAUGUGGAGAACGUGCUUAAGAAUCCACUAUGAUGGAAAACAUCUCAUUCUCAAAAACAAAAUUUUUUUCUCUUCUUCCUGUUAUUGGUAGUUCUGAACUUUAGAUUUUUUUUUUCCUAUGGGGUCAAAAGGUACCUAAGUACAUGAUUGCGAGCGGAAAAUAGGGGACAGAAUCGGGUAUUGGCAGGUUUUCCAUUUUCAUUUGUGUGUGGAUUUUUAAUAUAAAUGCGGGGCUGUAAAGUAUUAAUGCACAUCAAAAUGUUUUGGUGAACAAGUUUCAGCAGUUUAACUUCAUAACGACUAUAAAUAAACCUGUUAAAUUUU
Molecule: long non-coding RNA, 1372 nt
Organism: Tupaia belangeri chinensis (Chinese tree shrew)
Lineage: Eukaryota; Metazoa; Chordata; Mammalia; Scandentia; Tupaiidae
Exons: 4
Source: RefSeq, a predicted model, not a curated record